GAUCAUGGCUCAGGAUGAACGCUAGCUACAGGCUUAACACAUGCAAGUCGAGGGGCAGCAUCAUCAAAGCUUGCUUUGGUGGAUGGCGACCGGCGCACGGGUGAGUAACACGUAUCCAACCUGCCGACAACACUGGGAUAGCCUUUCGAAAGAAAGAUUAAUACCGGAUGGCAUAAUUAUUCCGCAUGGGAUAAUUAUUAAAGAAUUUCGGUUGUCGAUGGGGAUGCGUUCCAUUAGG
Molecule: ribosomal RNA, 238 nt
Filed under: uncultured bacterium
Lineage: Bacteria
Description: partial 16S ribosomal RNA
Rfam family: Bacterial small subunit ribosomal RNA
Source: RNAcentral